Molecule: long non-coding RNA, 2732 nt
Filed under: Homo sapiens (human)
Lineage: Eukaryota; Metazoa; Chordata; Mammalia; Primates; Hominidae
Description: HSALNT0319161
Source: RNAcentral
UUUGGUUAGAGUUGAUAGAUUCAGGACAAAGACAGAAUUAAUUGGUGAAGCAAUAUCCCAGAGGAUGGAAGAUAAAAGUUAAGUCCACAUGAAAAAGUUGGCCUUGAACAGGAAAAGGAACACCUUAUCCUCUGAGAAUGAAGAGAAUGAGGAAAGGACUGAUGCAGAUGUAGAUAAAUUUGUGGACAUGGGUAGGGCAGGAGGCUGAAGUCGCUCAAGCCUAACUGCAUGACUGUCGCAAGUCCUAGCCAAUGCCUGCCAGGGGCACACGCAGUAUGCAGCUUCCCCAUUUCCAAGAACCGAAAGAAUGUGGACUAAGAUGAUGACAGCUCCAGGAACCAGCCCAGACGGAGCCACUGGAGAGCUUCCCCAUAAGCCUGCAUGAACUCUCUAAAAUAGAGAUCUGCUGUGCUUAAGAUCCUUCAAUGGUUUCUCCCAAGAUAUUGGGAUCUCUGAAGACAAGGACUGUGUCCCCAGAAACUCAUCGACUCUCUGGUGUCUCUGGGUCUACGCACAUGAUGUCUCCAAGGCCAGGUCAGGGUUUUAUUAAAUUUUGUAGAACCACUUGUACACUGAACAGAACAGAGUUCAGCACUUCUGAUAAAGUUUGAGUGAGAUACAAUAUUCCUUUUGUCAUUUGUUAAUAUUCAUUGCAGCUCUGGAACAUCUUUUCUACAAUGCCUGACAACACUGAGUCAGAGUUUUAAUUUUCUGUUUCAGGACACGUAUUCAUUGGCUUGGUGUUUUACGUAUGUUUUAGGAAAGGAUUAUUUGAUAAUCUACAGUCCUGAAGAUUUUAACUAACCUCUGUGGGACUAUGAUAUUCUCGGGUGAAAAGGGUACAAGUAGAUGAGCGAUUUCAUUUUCAGUUUAUUCUCUUAAAUAGCAGUCAGAGUAAGAAAGGCUACAACUGGAGACACAGGAUGGCUCAAUGGUUAAGAGCAGGCACUCGAGAAAGACUACAUCUGACCUGCACAUAGGUGAAGACUCCAAGUCGGCUUCCCCUAGGAUGACCCCUUUAACUCAACUCUUUUCUACACACCUACAAAGUCUCUCUGUAAGCAUGUAAUCUAAUGACCAAAAAGAAUGACCAAAAAGAAAAUCUGCCUAAUGACCAAGAAAGAAAAGCAGGACAUAGGUACUAGUUACUAUUUAACCAAGACUGUAAAAGAUCCCAAGAUUCAGGGUUACCAGAAAAAUUGUGUAACUAGGGGAAUGUGAAACACAGUCUAGGGAGAGGAAACCUAGCUACUGGAAGGCUGGUAUUCAAUUAUUUGGAAACUGGCGUCUAUUCCAAGAAGCACCGUGAAUGGGCUUCCGGGCACCAAGAGCGGGCUGUUCUAGGAGGAAAGGGGCCGGCCCUACCUGUGCUCUGCCCUUGGGCUGCAAAUGGAUUCUGGCCGGAGCUUAGCCAGGUUGUAUUUCCGGCUCAGAGAGGGUCUGGGUGGGACGUCAAGGGAAUCAUUCCAUGUUUAGGAUAAUGGAACGUGUUGAGUUGGUAUGCAAGGUUUUGUCUUCAAUCCCAGAUAUCCAAAAAGCUCUUUGAAACACAGGAAAGAUUGGCCCUAUUUCUCUUUAGGUAUCAUUAUUUAUCUAAAUCUCCGGAGCCAUUGAGGACCAAGAUCAUACUUGCUGAAUAAAUGCACGGAGCAGGAUCAGAGGAUAGACACAGAAUGGGCCAAGAAGAGAAAUAUUAUUCCUCAUAAGAGCUUGCUUGAUUGCAACCACCAAGGACAUCCACAAACCAGGGCAAGAAGGACCAUCCGUAAUUCUUUCCCAUAAAUAGUGACAGGAAGAAAAUAAACGCCCUAUUCUUCAAUGAUUUGAACCACCUCUGGAGCACAAACUUUCUCUAAAUUCACAGGGCAAAUAUCCAUCAUGGGGCAGGUAUCUAUGCUGCCAUGGAAAGUAACAUAAAAUGUACUAAGUCAUCACAGGGAGUUUUAAUUUUGUUUUUAAGGUCAAUUGCCAUGCUGGGGUAAAAAGCAUUGAUCCUUGCCUUUUAUCACCGGAAAAAUUCUUCACCAGUACUUUGUGAAAAUCUCGCCUCAUCAGGGCUGCCAAGGUCAAUGCAACCUAAGUAACCAAGCUGGGAGAUGCUUGCCUAAUUAUUAAAUAUUUAGCAAACAGUUUGUGACUAUUUAACUGUUUGCACCUGGCACCCUCUUUUCACUACGUGAGGCCUCCUGGCACCCUGACCUCUUCCCCCACCCCUACCCACUGCCCAGGCCGCCAGCACCCCUGGGGGGCAAAUACCGGGACCCAAGGGCAUUUCAAAGAAACAGCAGAGGUCACAUUCCAUUUCCUUUUUAUUAAAAAACAUACUUAAAAUGGGGGAGGAGGGCACAGAUCUAAGGUAAAAUCUCUUGCAGUUUUUUCAAGUUCGCAUGCACCGUUGAAAGUUCAUUAGUUAGGGAUUUAAAAGCAAAAAUGUUUCACACAACCAAUUAAACGCCAAGCUUUACAAACGCCUUGGUCUUUGGUUUUGGGAAUCUGUAAAAGUCCGCCUCCCCCCACCCGAGUUUUGCCCCUUUUAGAGCCCCUUUGUUGAAUUACGUGACUUUUCCCGAAGUCAUCAAACUUUGAAUUGCGUCUCUAAUUUUUUUUUUCAGGGCAAAAGCAAAUCAAGAAAUUAAACUUAAAAGUAGGCGACUCGGAGAGAAGUGGGGGAAAGCUCGCCCCAAAGCCAAGUUCCGCAGGACUAAAGCCCUCUUUGCGCGCGCGGGGCGGGG